This 461-nucleotide ribosomal RNA is filed under the name uncultured bacterium. RNAcentral describes it as "partial 16S ribosomal RNA". It matches the Rfam family "Bacterial small subunit ribosomal RNA", at positions 28 to 507 of the family's 1533-position model. The record is from RNAcentral.
GAUCAACGCUGGCGGCGUGCCUAAUGCAUGCAAGUCGAACGGGGUCAUCUUCGGAUGGCUUACGUGGCGGACGGGAGAGGCACACGUGGGCAACCUGCCCUGGAGUCGGGGAUAACCCGUGGAAACACGGGGUAAUACCGCAUGAACUAUUGUGCCGAGUGGGGCAUGGGAGGCAAGCCUUGUGGCGUUCUGGGGGGGGCCUGCGGACGAUUAGGUAGGCGGUGGGGUAACGGCCUACCGUGCCGAUUAACCGUAGAUGGUUGGAGAGGAUGAUCAGCCAGACGGGGACUGGGGGACGGAGUCGGCACCUACGGGAGGCAGCCGCAAGGAUUUUCCCGCAAUGGGGGAAAGGCUGAGGGGGCAACGCGGCGGGUGGGAUGACGCUUUUCGGAGGAAAAACAGCAGUUCAUGGGGACGAAGUACUGACGGUACCCAAAGAGGAAGGCCCGGCUAACUACGUG